This 253-nucleotide ribosomal RNA is filed under the name uncultured bacterium. RNAcentral describes it as "partial 16S ribosomal RNA". It matches the Rfam family "Bacterial small subunit ribosomal RNA", at positions 524 to 776 of the family's 1533-position model. The record is from RNAcentral.
UACGUAGGGUGCGAGCGUUGUCCGGAAUUACUGGGCGUAAAGAGCUCGUAGGUGGUUUGUCGCGUUGUCCGUGAAAACUCACAGCUUAACUGUGGGCGUGCGGGCGAUACGGGCAGACUGGAGUACUGCAGGGGAGACUGGAAUUCCUGGUGUAGCGGUGGAAUGCGCAGAUAUCAGGAGGAACACCGGUGGCGUAGGCGGGUCUCUGGGCAGUAACUGACGCUGAGGAGCGAAAGCGUGGGGAGCGAACAGG